AUUGAACGCUGGCGGCAGGCCUAACACAUGCAAGUCGAGCGGAUGAAGGGAGCUUGCUCCUGGAUUCAGCGGCGGACGGGUGAGUAAUGCCUAGGAAUCUGCCUGGUAGUGGGGGAUAACGUCCGGAAACGGGCGCUAAUACCGCAUACGUCCUGAGGGAGAAAGUGGGGGAUCUUCGGACCUCACGCUAUCAGAUGAGCCUAGGUCGGAUUAGCUAGUUGGUGGGGUAAAGGCCUACCAAGGCGACGAUCCGUAACUGGUCUGAGAGGAUGAUCCGUCACACUGGAACUGAGACACGGUCCAGACUCCUACGGGAGGCAGCAGUGGAGAAUAUUGGACGAUGGGCGAAAGCCUGAUCCAGCCAAGCCGCGUGUGUGAAGAAGGUCCUCGGAUUGUAAAGCACUUUAAGUUGGGAGGAAGGGCAGUAAGUUAAUACCUUGCUGUUUUGACGUUACCAACAGAAUAAGCACCGGCUAACUUCGUG
This 484-nucleotide ribosomal RNA is filed under the name uncultured bacterium. RNAcentral describes it as "partial 16S ribosomal RNA". It matches the Rfam family "Bacterial small subunit ribosomal RNA", at positions 30 to 507 of the family's 1533-position model. The record is from RNAcentral.